CCUACGGGGGGCAGCAGUGAGGAAUAUUGGUCAAUGGACGGGAGCCUGAACCAGCCAAGCCGCGUGAAGGAAGACGGCGCCAGGCGUCGUAAACUUCUUUUGUCGGGGAACAAAGGGCGCCACGCGUGGCGUUGUGAGUGUACCCGAAGACAAAGCAUCGACUAACUCCGUGCCAGCAGCCGCGGUAAUACGGAGGAUGCGCGCGUUAUCCGGAUUUAUUGGGUUUAAAGGGUGCGUAGGCGGUCCGGAACGGCAGCGGUAAAAGCCCGGGGCUCAACCCCGGCGAGCAGUUGAAGCUGGCGGACUAGAGACGGCGAGAAGUACGCGGAAUGCGUGGUGUAGCGGUGAAAUGCAUAGAUAUCGCGCAGAACUCCGAUUGCGAAGGAAGCGGACCGGCGCCGGACUGACGCUGAGGCACGAAAGCGCGGGUAUCGAACAGGAUUAGAUACCCUGGUAGUC
RNAcentral lists this ribosomal RNA (459 nucleotides) under uncultured bacterium. Its description in RNAcentral is "partial 16S ribosomal RNA". It matches the Rfam family "Bacterial small subunit ribosomal RNA", at positions 338 to 795 of the family's 1533-position model. The record is from RNAcentral.